This 202-nucleotide unclassified non-coding RNA is filed under the name Hevea brasiliensis (rubber tree). Lineage: Eukaryota; Viridiplantae; Streptophyta; Magnoliopsida; Malpighiales; Euphorbiaceae. The record is from RNAcentral.
AGAAAAUCUAUCUAAUCGAAGUCCAGGGCCUAAUCCUUGUAUUGGUUCUUGACUUUCUGUGUAAGAGCCCCGCAGGGAAGCCCCAUCAGGCUAAUGCUCUCCGUACGCCCUAUCGUUUAGUCGUAGAAGGUCCAUAAGGAUUCCAAUCGGCUAAGUCUUGUAUUCCGUCCUAGCUUUCGAUUUCUUCGUUGAAGGAGUUAAG